This 451-nucleotide ribosomal RNA is filed under the name uncultured Fibrobacter sp. RNAcentral describes it as "partial 16S ribosomal RNA". It matches the Rfam family "Bacterial small subunit ribosomal RNA", at positions 341 to 792 of the family's 1533-position model. The record is from RNAcentral. Lineage: Bacteria; Pseudomonadati; Fibrobacterota; Fibrobacteria; Fibrobacterales; Fibrobacteraceae.
ACGGGAGGCAGCAGUGGGGAAUAUUGCACAAUGGGGGGAACCCUGAUGCAGCAACGCCACGUGUGGGAAGAAGCAUUUCGGUGUGUAAACCACUGUCGUGAGGGAAUAAUGCUUGGCUCCGGCCAAGUUGAAUGUACCUCGAAAGGAAGCACCGGCAAACUUCGUGCCAGCAGCCGCGGUAAUACGAGGGGUGCAAGCGUUGUUCGGAAUCACUGGGCGUAAAGGGAGCGUAGGCGGAGACGCAAGCAGUCUGUACAAUACCGGGGCCCAACCCCGGACCUGCAGACUGGACUGUGUCUCUUGGAUAGUUCAGGGGCAGGCGGAAUUCCUGGUGUAGCGGUGGAAUGCGUAGAGAUCAGGAAGAACACCGAUGGCGAAGGCAGCCUGCUGGGGACUCAUCGACGCUGAGGCUCGAAAGCGUGGGGAGCAAACAGGAUUAGAUACCCUGGUA